AUUGAACGCUGGCGGAAUGCUUUACACAUGCAAGUCGAACGGCAGCACGGGGGCAACCCUGGUGGCGAGUGGCGAACGGGUGAGUAAUACAUCGGAACGUGCCCGGUCGUGGGGGAUAACGUAGCGAAAGUGACGCUAAUACCGCAUACGAUCUGAGGAUGAAAGCGGGGGACCUUCGGGCCUCGCGCGAUCGGAGCGGCCGAUGUCAGAUUAGGUAGUUGGUGGGGUAAAGGCCUACCAAGCCGACGAUCUGUAGCUGGUCUGAGAGGAUGACCAGCCACACUGGGACUGAGACACGGCCCAGACUCCUACGGGAGGCAGCAGUGGGGAAUUUUGGACAAUGGGCGCAAGCCUGAUCCAGCCAUUCCGCGUGCAGGACGAAGGCCUUCGGGUUGUAAACUGCUUUUGUAUGGAACGAAAAGGAUCUGGCUAAUACCUGGGGCUCAUGACGGUACCGUAAGAAUAAGCACCGGCUAACUACGUG
RNAcentral lists this ribosomal RNA (484 nucleotides) under uncultured bacterium. RNAcentral describes it as "partial 16S ribosomal RNA". It matches the Rfam family "Bacterial small subunit ribosomal RNA", at positions 30 to 507 of the family's 1533-position model. The record is from RNAcentral.